Long non-coding RNA from Cyprinus carpio (common carp), 1670 nucleotides. RefSeq lists it as uncharacterized. The record is from RefSeq and is a predicted model, not a curated record. The transcript is spliced from 4 exons. Lineage: Eukaryota; Metazoa; Chordata; Actinopteri; Cypriniformes; Cyprinidae.
UUUAAGUCAGCCUGGUACAUGAUGUAUACACUUAAAAACUGUGUGCUGCCACCUCGGAUGUGUUUUAUUUUGUGUUUUGGACGUGAUAUCUUUAGUGUAUUAUAACAGACAUAGUUCACUAUUUCUGUUCUCAACUCCACCAGACUUUGAUACGUAUUUAAGUUGCGUUUAUUGUAGACUAUAUGAUGCGUUCUUAUAUAGACCAGACAGUUAAAUGCUGUUUCCCGUUCCUUGUGCACCUGACAGCUGUUUUUGAAGAAUGCUAAGUUGCUUGUUUUGCUGGGAUGUCUAAUUUGUCCACUGACAGUCUGGUUGGGAGGCAUCUCGGUGGAUCUCGGAGAACGGCUAAGAACAGAAUGAGAGCGAAAGAGAGAGAUAUGUAUAUAAAAGAUGCAGAGCAGAGCGAAUGGACAGAGACAAGCAGGGAAUGAGGAGAAAGAGGAGCAGAGGAAUGAGAUGGGGGGAGCUGAGUGUAGAGACAGCAGCGAUAAGGAAGCCUCCCUCACCUGUGCCCUCUCAGGGACAGUGACCUAACCUGGAAAUAAUUACAACUACUGAACUGUCACUGCACCCUCCACCUCAUCUCCAGUCCUUAUUGCCAAAAACACGCACCCCGCAGUCAAGUUAGCAAAACAGCGAUGGAGCAGCAAGAGGAGUGGAGGUGAGAAGAAAAGGCUGCAGUGAGAGUAUGUGGACGGAAAAACAGAACAGACAGGCAAGUGUUUUAUUGAAUCUGCGGUGUCCACAGAAUCGGGUAACUCACUUAGAGGGCGUCUCUAAAAGCAUUCGGAGUGUGGAGCCCUAUGGGCAGUGUCACUCUCAAUCUACAAAACAAAGGACCGGAGGGGCUGCUCUUUGAAUAAGAAAACUACUUUUACAAUACAGAUGGAUUAUUUCAUCUCUGACUGGUCCCUCCUGAGACUUCAGCCGCAUAUUUCGGGGGGAAUGAAAAAUAGGGUUGUGAAUGUGUGUUUGGUCAAAUCUGAUAUCAAUAUCACUUUAGAGAGAUUAUUUCCCCAUGUAUGCCUCUCAGAAGCUUUUCACUCUGCUUGGCUCAUGGGGAUAGAAUUUGCUUCUAAAUUAAAUGCAAUAGUUAUGGGCACCACAUGGGGUCUGGAUUGCAGGACAUAUCAUAUUUGAAGGUGCUCAAAAAUCUGAACAGACUAAAAUGAAAACAUCUAGAAUCAGAUCAGAGCUUUUGAAACAAAUCAUUUGCAAACUUAAUUGCAAACUUCAUCGGAACAGAUUUGGAGCAAUUUAACAUUAGAUCGCUCACCAAUGGAUCCUCUGCAGUGAAUGGGUGCCAUCAGAGUACUCUUUGUAACAAACAAAUCCAUUUUUAAGAUGUUUUAACUUCAAACCAUUACUUGGCACUAAAAUAUGAGUCUCCAUAAUAUCGCUUUUGCUUUCGCCAAAAGAUCUUCUCUGAGUCAUGAGAGAAAUAUGCACAGAUCAAUCACCAUUUGGAAGUGAAAACAGUCCAAACAGUUCUAAUUAAAUAGGCUGUGGUGGAUUUUGUUGUAAGAGGACAAGAGGGAUGGGCUGCUUGACUGGAGGAAGCAUUAUUAUGGAUUACUUAAUCAAAUAAAUUGAACUAAUUCUGACGGCACCCAUUCACUGCAGAGCAUAUAAUGCGAGCAAGUGAUGUAAUUGAUGCUAAAUUUCUCAAA